RNAcentral lists this ribosomal RNA (236 nucleotides) under uncultured bacterium. Its description in RNAcentral is "partial 16S ribosomal RNA". It matches the Rfam family "Bacterial small subunit ribosomal RNA", at positions 118 to 347 of the family's 1533-position model. The record is from RNAcentral.
UGAGGAACAUGACCUUCGGCGGGGGAUAGCCGGCCCAACGGCCGGGUAAUACCGCGUACGACCACAUGGGGAUAUCCCUGAGUGGUGAAAGCAGCAAUGCGCCGAUGGAGUGCCUCGCGGCCUAUCAGCUAGUUGGUGAGGUAACGGCUCACCAAGGCGACGACGGGUAGCUGGUCUGAGAGGAUGGCCAGCCACAUUGGGACUGAGACACGGCCCAGACCUCGUAACCGGGGAGG